UCCCCCUUUGGUUCUGAGGACAGAUUUUUGGAAGAUGGAGAUUUUCCGGUGAUAGCCUUCUUUGCUUUCACUAGUGACUGUUUUACCUUUGAUAUGAUGUUAUUUGACUGCUUUUGAACUGGCUUGGUUGGAGUUUCUUUUGGAAGGUCCUUGGAUGUCUUUGUUGUAUCAUUUUCCUUGGUGGCUUCAACCUCAGUUUUCACUGGCUCGUCAAUUUGUUCUUUCUCCAAAUUAGCUGCUCCAGUUUUAACAAAUUCCUCCUCUUCUUUUUCUUCAAAUUUAGAUGCCAGUGUUUCUCUAACAGGUGCACUUACAGCAUUAGAGAUUUCAUCCACCUUUGUGUCAGCAUCUCCUUCUUUCUUGUUAUCAACUUCUUCAUUUUUCACACUCUCUACAUUCACACUCCCUUCUUCAGGUAUAGCUGCCGUUGCAUCCUUCUGUUCCUCAGGCUUCUUGAUAUCAACCUCUACCUCUCUUGAAGAUACUUGGACAGCAUCAGGUGCUUCUGAUUCCUUCUUUUCAUCCUCUGCAGCAGCAACAACAAACUUUUCCUCGACACUGGUAGGGUUCUCCGUAUCACUGGCCGCUUCUUUUGACUCAAUCGCAUCAGUAAAGCUUGAUUCUUUCUUGACAUCUUCUUCAACAACCUUUUCUUCAACUUCAUGAGAUGGUUCCUCCAGACUUGCAGGGUUUUCCUGAGCUUUGACAUUCAGUGAAACUUGUGUCGUCUUCACUGUGGUGUUAGUUUCACUUUCCACCCCCUUUUCAGUUUUCUCUUCAUUGAAUGAUAUGGAGUCUUUGAUUGUGGCAUCUAGAGAUCCUUCACUUUUUUCAGUUGCUUCCUUUGGCUCCACCUCCUUAUUAGUUUCCCCAAUUUCCUCACCUACUUGUAAUUGUUCUCUUGACUUUUCCUCCACUCCAUUAGACAGAGCAUCUGUAUCUGUGUUCUCUUCCAACUUUGAGUUAUCAGUCUCUUUCACCACCUCAAUAUCUGAGUCUUUGGGAAGGUUAACCUCCACUGUAUCAGCGGUUAGUUCUUGAACUUCAGCUGCUUCCUUUAGCUUCUCUUCUUCCUCUUGUUUGAAUAUUUGAAUUUCUGGCUCACUUUGCUUUUCAUCCACUUCAGUACCCACAGGCUCUGCCUUCUCUGUUUCUGUAGGCACUACUUCGUCGUUGUUAGUCUCUUUCAAUAGGUCUGCCUCAUGUUCUAUUUCUCUUGUUUUUUCUUCUACAGCAAUGGCAUCACUGGUCUCUGCAGAGUGUUCAGGAAUUGCAGCAAAUGUGUCUGAUUGCGUCUUUUCCUUUUGUUCUGUUGAAUGCUGUUCUGGUUCUUUCUUAUUUUCUUCAACUUCAGUAACCACAGGUUCUGCAUUUUCUGUUUCUGUAGGCUCAACAUCAGUAACCACAGAUUCGUCUUCUCCUUUUUCCGUAGGCACCCGACGACAAUGAAAAAAAGAAAACAAAUAUGUAAAAUCUGCAAGCUUAAUUCAAUCAGUCCCAUUAUUUGACUUUAAUGUCCCCCUUUGGUUCUGAGGACAGAUUUUUGGAAGAUGGAGAUUUUCCGGUGAUAGCCUUCUUUGCUUUCACUAGUGACUGUUUUACCUUUGAUAUGAUGUUAUUUGACUGCUUUUGAACUGGCUUGGUUGGAGUUUCUUUUGGAAGGUCCUUGGAUGUCUUUGUUGUAUCAUUUUCCUUGGUGGCUUCAACCUCAGUUUUCACUGGCUCGUCAAUUUGUUCUUUCUCCAAAUUAGCUGCUCCAGUUUUAACAAAUUCCUCCUCUUCUUUUUCUUCAAAUUUAGAUGCCAGUGUUUCUCUAACAGGUGCACUUACAGCAUUAGAGAUUUCAUCCACCUUUGUGUCAGCAUCUCCUUCUUUCUUGUUAUCAACUUCUUCAUUUUUCACACUCUCUACAUUCACACUCCCUUCUUCAGGUAUAGCUGCCGUUGCAUCCUUCUGUUCCUCAGGCUUCUUGAUAUCAACCUCUACCUCUCUUGAAGAUACUUGGACAGCAUCAGGUGCUUCUGAUUCCUUCUUUUCAUCCUCUGCAGCAGCAACAACAAACUUUUCCUCGACACUGGUAGGGUUCUCCGUAUCACUGGCCGCUUCUUUUGACUCAAUCGCAUCAGUAAAGCUUGAUUCUUUCUUGACAUCUUCUUCAACAACCUUUUCUUCAACUUCAUGAGAUGGUUCCUCCAGACUUGCAGGGUUUUCCUGAGCUUUGACAUUCAGUGAAACUUGUGUCGUCUUCACUGUGGUGUUAGUUUCACUUUCCACCCCCUUUUCAGUUUUCUCUUCAUUGAAUGAUAUGGAGUCUUUGAUUGUGGCAUCUAGAGAUCCUUCACUUUUUUCAGUUGCUUCCUUUGGCUCCACCUCCUUAUUAGUUUCCCCAAUUUCCUCACCUACUUGUAAUUGUUCUCUUGACUUUUCCUCCACUCCAUUAGACAGAGCAUCUGUAUCUGUGUUCUCUUCCAACUUUGAGUUAUCAGUCUCUUUCACCACCUCAAUAUCUGAGUCUUUGGGAAGGUUAACCUCCACUGUAUCAGCGGUUAGUUCUUGAACUUCAGCUGCUUCCUUUAGCUUCUCUUCUUCCUCUUGUUUGAAUAUUUGAAUUUCUGGCUCACUUUGCUUUUCAUCCACUUCAGUACCCACAGGCUCUGCCUUCUCUGUUUCUGUAGGCACUACUUCGUCGUUGUUAGUCUCUUUCAAUAGGUCUGCCUCAUGUUCUAUUUCUCUUGUUUUUUCUUCUACAGCAAUGGCAUCACUGGUCUCUGCAGAGUGUUCAGGAAUUGCAGCAAAUGUGUCUGAUUGCGUCUUUUCCUUUUGUUCUGUUGAAUGCUGUUCUGGUUCUUUCUUAUUUUCUUCAACUUCAGUAACCACAGGUUCUGCAUUUUCUGUUUCUGUAGGCUCAACAUCAGUAACCACAGAUUCGUCUUCUCCUUUUUCCGUAGGCUCCACUUUAAUGUUAUUGGUCUCUUCCGGAUUUCUCCACUGUUGUCUUUUCCUCUAUGGUCUUGCUCUGUUUCUCAUCGGCUUCCGCUGAGGGUUCAGCAUCAGCAAUUGCAACUGCGCUUGGUUGUGCUGCCUCUUCUGAUUUUUCUUGUGAUUCUUUUUCUUGUUUUGUUACUUCCUUCUCUUCAGUGGCCACAG
RNAcentral lists this long non-coding RNA (3147 nucleotides) under Cicer arietinum (chickpea). Its description in RNAcentral is "long non-coding RNA (CARI_LNC000979)". The record is from RNAcentral. Lineage: Eukaryota; Viridiplantae; Streptophyta; Magnoliopsida; Fabales; Fabaceae.